This is a long non-coding RNA of Melospiza melodia melodia, 4135 nucleotides long. RefSeq lists it as uncharacterized. The record is from RefSeq and is a predicted model, not a curated record. Lineage: Eukaryota; Metazoa; Chordata; Aves; Passeriformes; Passerellidae. The transcript is spliced from 5 exons.
CACUCCUCUCUUCUGGCAUGAUUUACCUCUCAUAAUAAAGGCUAUGAAGAAAGAAACGAGACUUGAGCUGACAAAGAAUUGUGAGUUUGAGUGACCUCUUAAUGUUCAAUACGGCUUUAUCUACAAGAGUACACACAGUCUUGGCUGAGGCUCUGCAGCCACUGGCCAAGCUCACCCAAGCGAGAUGAGAAAGUUCUGGAUGGCAGAUGUCGGGAGCCAAGGCAGCUGCGUGGCGUGGGGCUGCCUGCCGUGGAAGGAGCAGCUGCUGCCAAGCCCUGUGAGCAGAGAUGUGCUUGAGAAUUAAACCCCUACAUACAGAAGGGAAUCCUCGUCUGACGGCGUUUGUCUCCUUCCAGAGACAUUGCUUCCUGGUCCAGGUUGGGCAGCUGCUGCAGGAAAAUAUCUGGGACCAUGGAAUGGAAAUGGAAGCUUCAUUGAACAACAGCUCAUUGAUGUUUUGUGAUCUGGCCCAUUAGGUCUGGUCUGGAAACCUUAAGCUUGUAGCAAAGAUAUUUUGUGAAGGCUUGGGUGAAAUGCAAAUUAGAAAUGGUACCUGAUUUUUGCAGUAAAGCUGCAUUGCAAUCCUGUGAAGGAUCCCCUCAACAACAGCAAGACAUCAAUGGCAAUGCCAGGAUGUCAUUGUGGAGUGGUGCUCUGGUGAUUAUCAGUGAAUUGACAAUGAUUAGUGACUCACUGUUGCUCAUUCUUAAUCCAGCCCACUCCACCACUGCUUGUACUGCCUUGUGGGAAGCAAAUCUAAGCACAUGCAGAGGAAGAAGCUUCAGUGUUAUUUUGCUGGCAGCCUUCUAGAAACCUCCUUUGCACUGCAAAUGCUUGUUUGCUGCCCACGGAGUUUGCCAUUCGGCUAGAGAUUUUCUUCCAGCCCUACAGGGACUUCAGAGGGUAGACAUUGUAUAUUACUGCCAAAUGGUAAAAAAGAUAAAAAUUAUUUAAACCAGUGAAGCAUGAGAUGCACAUGUGUGUAUUGUGAAGGAAGAUAGCACAUGUUGUGAAUGAAAAAUUUGCUGGCAAGAAUCACUGCUGUCAAUCUCCUGAGGAAUCUCCCUGUGCUGAAGAGAUCAGCUCCUGUGGACCACGGUGGUACCCACCUCAGCAUCCUUAAGAAAGGACCCAAACGCAGAAAGGUUCAUAUAAGCUUCUUUUCUCCUGCUUCAGGCUUGAAGACACAUGACAUGUAGACAACUGUAGAUGGGCAGAAGUUCUGUUUGCUCUGCCUCCUAGUUUUCUUCUUUACUUCUAGUAAAACUCAGAUGAGGUUGAAGGGUAAUGUGGGUGCUGCCUGGCUCAUGUGCCUUGAGUCAUCCCAGCCAGAUGUGUCAGAACAGCUUGUAGGCCAAACAUCCCCUCACCAGACAUCACAAUUGUAUGACACCAAGAAAGGAGAGUAGAAGGGCAGCUGAGAAACUGAGGAAGUUCAGCUUCAGAAGGGCUUUUAACAGCCUGAGCUGGAAAAGCUGGAAAUGAACCUGCCACUGGAAAUAUCUGAUAUUAGCUGCAUCUGUUUCAGUUCUCUUAAAAUUCUAUGAAAGCUGUCCCUCUCCUAGUAUUGCCUUCUGCCUCUGUUGUGCCAACAUAUUUCCUUCAUGAAGCUGUCCAAUAAAACCUGAGCUUCCUUUAUGAUUAAGUACUAAAGUGCAAGCAAAUAGAGGCCCAAUGUAUUUUCAACAGGCAAUACUUCAAAAGAUAUAGAGAAGAAGAAGCUGCCUAUGCAAAUGGCUGUCUUUUUGGUAUAGGCUUCAUAUUUAAAGCAACAUUUCUCAGAAAUCAUACUGAAGGCAAAAACAUGCUCAGUAGCUAUAUGUUCAACAGCAUUGUUUCUGGAAAGAAAAAACAUUUCUCAUACUUGAAUGAAUUUAUAAAACAAGGCAAAGUGGUUUACAAUCACUUUGAGAAAAAAGUGGUAGGUGUGCUACAGGGUCUCUAGGCUUUGACUUUGCUCUUCAUGCCAAACAUAUUUUGUCACAUUUGCUCUCAUUGCUUUGAGCUGUUUCCUGGCAAAUUGAGCAAGUUCUGCUUACUGCAGCUAUGCAUCUUGAACAAACAUGAAUUUGUUUAUAUAUACAGUUUUGACGGAUGGAAUGAAAGCUGGCAUUUCAAGGCACAUUUCAAGAGUUUGCAUCCAUGGUUCUUGGCAGACUGGUACAUCCUGAAAAAAAAAUUCUUUCUGCCUCAAUGAUAUGAAAAACCUCAGCUAUAAUAAAUGGGCAGCCACAGGUAAAGUGGCAUCCACACAGCUGCCUGCCAGACACACUAGGCAGGUGUCCAGGCACAGAAUCAUAGGAUGGUUUGGGUUGGAAGGGACCUUAAGGAUCACCUAGUUCCAACUGCUCUGCCAUGGGCAGGAAUGCUGUCCACAAGUGCAGAUUGCUCAAGGCCCCACUCAACUUAGCUUCCAGGGAUGGGGCAUCCAAAAUUUCUCUGUGCUACACGUUCCAGUGCCUUACCAUCUUCACAGUUGAGAAUUUCUUCCUAAUAUCUAAUCUAAACCUGUCCCCGUUCAGUGUAAAUCCAUUUCCCUUUGACUUGUUGCUACAUGCUCUUGUCAAAUCUCCUUCUCUGGCCUCCUAGUAGGUCCCCUUCAGGUGCUGUAAUGCUGCUAUGAGGUUAUCUUGGAGCCUUUUCCUUUCCAGACCAAAUAACCCCUGUUCCAGGAGUUGGAACCCCAAUUUUCUCAACCUGUUUUCAUAGAAGAGGUUCUCAGCCCUCUGAUUAUCUUCAUGGCCCUGCUCAGGACUUGCUCCAACAGGUUGACAUCUUUCUUAUGUUGGAGCCACCAGAGCUGGAUGCAGUACUCCAAGCAGGCACUCAUGGGAGCAAAGUAGAAAGGGAAAAACACCUCCCUCAACCUCCUGGUCACACUUCUUUUACUGCCAGGCCAGGACAUGGUUGGCUUUCUGGGCUGCAAGUGCACAUUGACAGCUCAUGCUGAGCUUGUCAUCGAUGCACCAACACCCACAAGUUCUUCUUCUCCUCAGGGCUGCUCUCAAUCCAUUCUCUGCCCAGCCUGUAUUUAUGUUUGGGAUUGCUCCAACUCACAUGCAGAGCUUGCACUUGACCUUGCUGAAUUUCAUAGGUGUGCAUCUACUGAACAGGUCAGCGUGUCUGCUUCUGCUCCGUGAUGCCUGCAGCUGGUCAGCAGCCACAGGCCAGGCUGAGCAGCAGUGGCACAGAGUGUUGGAGUGGGAUGGAGGCCUUGGCUUUGUGGUGUAUAAAUGGAACAGUGCAGAUCACGCUGAGAUCUUGUGUGGAGCGUGAGGUGAGGCGUGCCUGCCGGAGGUGGCCAUGGCUUACCACCACCACCACCACUUCUCUGUGCCCUUCCUCAGCAGCCACAGCAGCUGAGAAACCUCAGCCUCAGCCUCAGACAUAACUCCAGGCAGCCCCAACGAGUGUCCCAAGGACACGUGCUCUGCCGUGCUCCUCACGCUUGUUGGACCAGGCUCUCCCCCUGCUGCAGCUGAAACCAAGGGACAAAACGCCCAUGGAAACUAAUGGGAACAUGGGCAAGCCCACUUCCCAUAUGGUGCCUGUCAACCACGUGCUUAGGAAACAUCUGAUAUAUUUUUAUUCAGAUCAUGUGCUCAGUAUAAUGACUGAGAUUUGUUAAGUCCUGAGACUGUAGACCUUAAGUAAUUCCCAAGUUUUGUACAAAUAUCCAUCUUUGUUCUUUUGUGAGAGGAUCACAUGCCGGCAUGAGAACUCAUAUGAUUUUGGGUGCAACUUAGAGAAGCCAUCUAAUUUAAGGUAUACUUAAGUGCUCCACAGCAAACUCUGCAACUCCGUUAGGGCAGUAUUUCUUUACACAAACCUGAAGUGGAAGUAGCUUGGGUUUUUUGAUGAAUAAUUGAGAAAUACUGAGGCUGAAUCUUAUAAUUUUUUACACUUCUGUGGGUUUUUUAUAGCUAUAGAAUAUCUACCACCAUGGCAGCUUAGUAAUUGUGAAGCUAUAAUGCUAUCAAUCACUUUUGUUGCAAAAUGAAUUAUAUUGUUCAUAAUAUUUAUUUAUUGAUAAUGUUUGAAACAUGAACAGGAAAAGUUUUAUACAAAAUUUUAGCUGAGACCAUAACCUUUGCAGUUAAAAUAUUUCUUGCAAUAAAGCUGCUAUAACAUAAAA